Molecule: long non-coding RNA, 14565 nt
Filed under: Capsicum annuum
Lineage: Eukaryota; Viridiplantae; Streptophyta; Magnoliopsida; Solanales; Solanaceae
Description: long non-coding RNA (CANN_LNC016417)
Source: RNAcentral
ACGAAAUCACACAAAACAAUCAAUCAAACAAACAAACAAAACAAAUCCAAAAUUAUAGUGUCCAGUUCGACUAUGACAAUCCCGAAAUAGAAAAAUGCGAAAAUAUAAACCUACUCUAUUCUAUGCUCAUUCUAAACUACACUUCAUUGCUUUCUCCACCUGACGUUUCGGGCCUUGAUCGUGCGUCGUCUUCAAUUACAUAGUACUUCGGGACAUUCCUUGGAUAAAUCAAUACAAAUCCCUCGGGGCAUUCCACGGCCAAAUAAAUACAAUAGAUCCCAAUGCAUAAAUCAAAACCGUUCCACACACAUUUCAUCAUUCAACAAUCACAAAUCCUAAACUUUGCCUACCCAACAUAUGUUUUCCUAUCACUUACGACUUAUCAUGCUAUUACUAAAUUAAACCAAAAUUAACCUAAAUUCACUAUUUUAUCAAUUUCUCAAUUCUGCCCCAACUUUCCUUUUAACACUAAAUUUCCAUAAUUCAUGAUUUCUAUUUCAACGAUCCACAACUACUCUUCAAUGAAAUUAAGUAACAAGUUAAUAUCAAAGUAGCAAUUCAUCACCAAUCAAGAUCAAACAACACACGAUAUUCCAUCUAAUGCACCAUAUUUCAUCAAUAAUGAAAUAAAAAAAGGAAAAGGGUGGAAAUGGACCUCAAUGAUGAUUUUAUUCUAAUUAUUAGUCAAUCGAGAAGAUGAAUCCGCGUGACGAAGAAUCCCGGUUCAGAAAACCUCAAUGACGAGCUCGAAUCCAACUCAAUAUCAGAAAUUGAAGCCCGAAGCUGAAUAAGAAUGACCGAUUCAAAAUCCAAAAUCCAACUCGUAUCGAACCCAGUUUCUGAAUCUAAAUUCCCAAUUAAUUUUGAGUCUGAAACAGUGUUAACUCUGAUGAGGAGGUGCCAUUUUCCAAUGGGUUUGGUGAUGAAAGGGAGCUGGGUCACUGCUAGCACUUUGUCGUAGCUCCGAUGAGCUCGGCGCAAGAGGAACUCAAAGGAUACAGAUAAAUUUUUGGCCCCGUUGACCCUUUUCUCUCCCUUUCUCCCCGUUUCUCUCCCUUUUUUCUAUCUCUCUGUCAGUUUCUCUCUUUUCUCGAUGCUCUAUCUCUCUCGACCUCUCUUACUGUGUGUUUUUAGAGAUGGAUAUGCGCGUGUAUAUCAGUGAGGAUGUGUGUGCGAUUUGAGCUUAAGAAGAAAGAAAAAUAAGCCAGGCAAAAUGGAGUCUGUGCUUUCUUUUUUUUUUUGUAUCCACCUGGUGUGUGUUGUGAUUUGUGCAUAUGGUGAGGAUUAGUGUGUGUGCCUAUUGUGAGGGAGUCUUGUGUUACUGUAUAUGUUUGUCCUCAAUGGAGAAGAAAAAUGGAAUAUUUCCCCUGUGGGCCCUCGUAUGUGUUAUCUGUCUGUGUUGAUGGUUUUGUGUAUGUGAGGUGUGUACAAUUUUAUGUCCAGUGAAGAUACUCCCUCCAUUGAACCAAUAAGAGAAUGGAAUAUAUUGGGAAAAAUGGAGUGGGACCCUUAUGUACAGAAUCAUGGAUGUCGCUAUUAUUUCCCUAUGGUCCCCUCUUUAUUUAUGUUUUGCAAUUUAUGGAAUACAGUGGAAACUGCGAGGUGAGUGUGUCCAUAUUUUCAAAUGGAAUAUGUUAUGGAAAGAAAAUAUGAUGAAAAGGUGAGUGUGGUGAGGGGUGACGUGGGUAGUGAGGUGGUGUAGGGGUAGUUAGGUUGUUAAUUUGUUAGGGAGUUUGUUAUUUUUGUAUUUUUGUAGGGUAUAAUCACAUGGGUGGGGGAGCAUUGUAAGGUACGCUAAAAAUGGAUAAAAUUGGACUUUGGGAGGGACAAAAUUAGGUGUCUACAACAUGCCUCCUUUGAAUGUAAACAUGAAGUGUUUUUAGACAAAGAAUUAGACAACAACCAAAUUUUGACCCGACCAUUAUUCAAAGAAAGAAAUAGAAGGAAGAAGGGCAACUGGAUCUUGACUUAGGACAUCAUACUCAUCCCUAGUUAUGAGGAAAAACUACUCACAGAUAUCUCUAAGGGAAGAAAAGGGACUAUACCGAGUUGGAGGGUCGAGUGAGGUUCCAUCAAGGUUCCGAUCCACAGCUCUGUCAUUAAAUCAAAAAUGAAAAUAACAAGUUAAAACAUAAAUGAAAUUACAAAAAUUUUAUCUAUGUAGCUUCUUUUGAACUUCUUGAUAUGAGCUUCAUCACCCUAUUCUUCAGGCGGGCUCCUGACUUGCAAUUUCUUCAACUUGUUUCUUGGCUUUCAAUUGUUUCACCUUGUUGCUUGACUUUCAAUUCCUUCACUUUGUUGCUUUGACUUUCAAUUUCUUCACUUUGUUGCUUUGACUUUCCAUUUAUCCGCCCUUGUUCUUUAGGCGGGCUUCUGACUUGUAAUUUCAUCACCCUGUUCUUCAAGCGGGAUCCUAACUUUCAAUUUCAUCACCCUGUUCUGUAGGUGAGCUCCCAACUUUCAAUUUCAUCACCCUGUUCUUCAGGUGGGCUCCUGACUUGUUAUUUCAUCACCCUGUUCUUCAGGCGGGCUGCUGAAAUCAAAAUCAAAACUAAAACAAAAAUUAUCCCAAAUCAAGAUUAUGAUAAAGAGAGAUUUUAUUUUUUUCUGACAGCAAAGUCCCAUUUUUCAGGAGGAUCCUAGACAGCAAGUAAAUUCUCAUUUUCCAGGGGGGACCUGAACAGAAAGAAAAUUCCCAUUUUCUAGGAGGGUCCUAAACAGAAAGUAAAUUUCCAUUUUCCAAAAGGAUCCUAAAUAGAAAGUAAAUUCCAAUUUUUCAGGAGGGUCCUGAACAGAAAGUAAAAUUCCAUUUUCUAGGAGGGUCCUGAACAGAAAGUAAAAUUCUAUUUUUCAGGGGGGUCCUGAACAGAAAGUAAAAUCCCAUUUUUCAGGAGGAUCCUGAACAGAAAGUAAAAUCUCAUUUUCCAGGAAGGUCCUGAACAAAAAGCAAAAUCUCAUUUUUUAGGAGGAUCCUGAACCAAAAGUAAAAUCCCAUUUUCCAGAAAGGUCCUGAGCAUAAAGUAAAAUCUCAUUUUUCAGGAGGGACCCGAGCAAAAAGUAAAAUCUUAUUUUCCAUGAGGGUCCUGAACAAAAAGUAAAAUCCCAUUUUCCAGGAAGGUCCAGAACAGAAGGUAAAUUCCUAUUUUUUAGAAGGGUCCUGAGCAUAAGGUAAAAUCCCAUUUUCCAGCAGGCUCCUGACCAGAAAGUAAAAUCCCAUUUUUCAAGAGUGUCCUGAACAGAAAGUAAAAUCCCAUUUUCCAGGAGGGUCCUGAACAGAAAGUGAAAUCCCAUUUUUCAGGAGGGUCCUAAACAGAAAGUAAAAUCCCAUUUUCCAGGAGGGUCCUGAACAGAAAGUAAAAUCCUAUUUUCCAGGAGGUCCUGAAUAGAAGGUAAAUUCCCAUUUUUCAUGAGGGUCUUGAGCAGAAGGUAAAAUCUCAUUUUCCAGGAAGGUCCUGAGCAGAAGGUAAAAUCCCGUUUUCCAGGAGGGUCCUAAACAGAAAGUAAAAUCCCAUUUACCAGGAGGGUCCUGAACAGAAAGUAAAAUCCCAUUUUCUAGGAGGGUCCUGAACAGAAAGUAAAAUCCCAUUUUCCAGAAGGGUCGUGAACAGAAAGUAAAAUUCAUGGACGUGUAUUUCUAAUGGUAGGUGAAUUAAGUGAAGCAAAUUUGCCCCUCUUUCAACAAAGAAUAUUUGUCAGUUAAAAACUUAGUGGUGGUUUGCAGUACUUGGCUGUCAUGACCCAACCCGAGGCCCUGGCAGCGACGGGCAUCCCGAACUACACAGGCCUGAGAGACCCCUGUCUCCGAACCCACUAGUGAUAUUGUUCUCUUUGUGCCCAGGCCCGCACGACUUUAAAAUGCAUCACUAGGGAGUAAGGCUUUAUCACUUAUAUACCCAGCAUCCCUCUUGUGUUUUGCCGAUGUAGGACUCCUUCCUAAGUUGGGGUGUCACAUACGCCCCCUGUAUGGACUCAGUUUCCUCGCUGAGGUUUGCCCCACCGAAUGGGAUUUGCCUACACUCAGGACUGAGGUUUGCCUCACCUUACCGGGAUUUUCCUACACUCAGUUUGAACUCUAGGCCACAUCGAUAGGGACCACAUAGGAGAGGCUCUGAUACCAUUUUUUCAUGACCUGACUCGAGGCCCUAGCCGCGAUGGGAAUCUUGAACCAUACAGGACCGACAGACCCCUAUCUCUGAACCCAAUGUAACACCCCAUACUUUUGGGCUAGAAUCAAGACCGUCGUCCUUAUACGUAUAGACCCGAACUAGAUGAUUCCUUGUUAAUAUAUGUGUGGUUAUCAAUCCUAUAGUGUAAGAAUACCUUUUAAUAUGAAUUUAGUUUACAAAAAUCCCCUAACUCUAAGACGAGUUGAAAACAUUUCUACCGAAUAAGUUUUAGUGGAUGUUUAAACUUGGGUCAACUUCCAUUGACCAUAACUCCUAGUAAAUGAUAAACUAGAGGGCCUAUUAUAUAUCAAAUAGAAGGUUUUCGAAUAAUCUUUCUAACGAUAUCAAUUUUGCCUAAAUCUGAUACCAAAGCAAAAUGUCAUGGCUAUUUUGGUGACUGAGACAGUAGCAUCAUACGAUAAGCGUGCGACGCACGCCCUAUCGCACGUUCAAAAUUUUUAGGUUCUAUUUUUGCAUUUGUAAUGAAAAAUGGGUAUCUUCCAUCCCUUGUCCAGCUAUAACAUGGGAUUAAACUCCCAAAACACCAACAUAUGAUUCUAUUCACCAAAAUUACCCAAGAACACUCUGUAGGGUUUCCAACUAAAAACACAAAUAUCUCAAGAAUUAACUGUGGGUUUUCCUUAAUUUUUCAAAAUUUGGAAUCCCCAUUGCGAGGGCUAUAAGAGGCACCCAUCAAUCAUACGUAUAGUAUCCCAAAAUCUAGAGUUCAUUCAAAAGCUUUCAAUUUAAGGUACAUGGAGUUUAUCCUAAAAACUACAUGGGCUUGUAAACUCUAGAACAUGAUUUAAAGAUUAUCAAGAAUGAAUUUUAAAGGGGUUUUAGAACUUAUGCUUUAAAUUCUGCAUUAUGGAUGUUUUGAUAAUGAUAUUGUUUUGGCCUUUAUGCCUUCUCCUUAAAUUGAGUUACACCUAUAUGUAUAUGUAUGAUAUUGAAGAUUUGAUUGAGAGAACUGUUAUUGAAAUCCCUCUCUUUGAUGAUUUAAAGUUUAUGAACUUGUUGGGAAUGAUUUGAGAUGCAUGCGUAAUGUUUUGAAAGUGAUCUUUUCAAUAUUCAAGAAUUUAAUAUGAUUUUGAUCAUAAUGGGAGGGAGCCUUUUUAAUAUGAUUUCAUUUUUGCGUUAAAGAGAAAGAAUUUGCAUAUGAUUAUUGUUUUUGGCAUGACCACCUAGUAUAUUUGAAAUGUUGAAAGAAGAGAGUUUCUUGCAUAUGAUUACAUGAAUUAAAAGAAUGAGUUCUUUGAAAUGAUUUGCUGAUAUGGUGGUUCUAAACAUAUGUUUUGAGAACAGAGAUUUUUAUAUGCUAAAAUGGCUCAGAGAUGUAACUUGCAAGUCAGUGGUAUGACGAUACCACAAGUAUGUAUGCCAUAACAGAGUAUGUUUUCAGAGUAUGAUUUCAUAUGUUGUUCUCAAACAAUGCAUGUUUUGAAAGAGUUAAAAAUAAGCUUAAAGAGGGUUAGGUGGUUGCCCGAAGAAGGCAUGAGCUCAAGUAACUCAUAGUCAGAAAUCAGGUUUUGCCGAUAUGGGUACAUUAUUUCCCCACGAGGGAUUUUUACGCUGGCCUAGUGCCCUGUGGCGUACAGAGCAGAGACUUCGACCCUUGCGGCAAACUUAGAUUGGGGGCUUAGCUGCCGAGUUAAUGGCAGAUCCUAUAUAGUCCAUGGGAUAACAAAGUUGUAGGGUAUACCACCUAGCGCAAAAGUAAUACAAAGAGUGUCACAGAUUUCAGAUAUUUUCACAGAGUCUUUUAAAAUGACCAUGUGAUUUCUUACUAUAUGAUAUGCUUAUGAACUAUUUAAAUUACUCUCAUACAUGUUGAAAUAAAUGAUUAUUUUGGAUUUGCUCUGCGUACCAGUACAUCUCUAUUGACCCCCCUCCCCCAUAUCUCUCAGGUUUUGAGGUUCAGUCUAGGGGUUCAGAUAAGCAAUAGAUAAUUCAGACAACAGAACAGAUUGCGCAGUGGUGAGCCUUCUCUAUUCCAGAAGGCCUUUUUUCUUUCAGAUUUUGUUAUUUCUUUGUUUUGGCCUACUGGGGGCCUUGUCCCAGAUUUUUCAGACAGUAUUAUUUUGAGAUAUAGUAAAGAUUUUGCAGACUGAGUCAAAUGUUGUUUAGAUAUUGCUGGAGUUUUCCUUCAUUGUUAAACUAAUUUCAGAGGAUGACCAUGUUUCCUUAUUCGAUUUAUAAUUCCGUAUUUUUCUUUUAUUGUAUGAAUGUUGUCCAUGAUUACCAGAUAGAGUAGGACGUCUGGGCCUUCAUGGAUCGGAUGUCCAUCAUGGCCAGUCCCUUGUUCGAAUCGUGACAUUGGCUUUCCUGACACCUAUUCCAAUAUUCAUUCCCUUCAUUUUGUUUCAUAUUGCUGGCACUUUCCCCUGCUUUAUCGUGUUAUUGACCCAAACUCAGAUUAUUAAGUGUGACUCUAAAAUAAACACAUUAUCUUUGCUUUGCCAUGCUUCUCAAAUAAACCCUUUAAACUUUGAUAUUUUCAUGAGUUCCCAGAUUUGCCUGUUGACAAAGUUUUUUGCAUGUCCUUUUUUUUUUGCUCACAAUCAUAUCUCUUUUAUGUGCUGGCCUUUCUGUCUUGCUUUGUGCAAUUGAAGAAGUUGGUAGCCAAUUUUGAAAUCUUUUCUCACUUAUUUUGACAUGGACUUGACUCAAAGACAAUAGAAAAAUGACAACAAUUAGAAAAAUGAUAAUAAUUUUUGUUUUAUUUGGAUAACUGACUCAAGAAAAUAAAAAUAUAACUAAAGAGAAAAAAAAUGACAAUGAAUAUCCCCAUUGAAAAAUAUGAAAGAAAAGUUUAUCUGAAAAUGAUAGUCAACUCUAAUGAUUAUGACAUGCAUAUCGAAUUAAACUGCCUGAUCUUUUCAUCCAAAACUCUCACAAAUUGUUGUUGAGAUAAUGACCCUGAAACUGAGUUGCUUCCUUAGGCCAAUUGCAUUUAAGACCUCAUUCGGCUAGUGGCACCUUGAAGGUUUUUUCGCCAACAAGUUUCUUUCAUUUUCUUUUCCUCAGCUCACUAUUGUCUUAUGGUGUCUGUCAGGGUCUUUCACCUAUGAGACUCUUAUUUUCAUUUCUCUCAACUCACCGUUGUCUUAUAGUGCUCGUGAGGGUUUUCACCAAUAAAACUUUCUCAUUUUUAUUUCUCUCUUGAUUCCCUACGCUGAGGAAGACUGACAGUUCCCAAAAUGCAUUAUCAUAUGCAUUGCAUGCUUAGCCUUAACAUUCUCAAAGAUUGAUCUGAAGGUCUUUCUUUGGUUGUAGCUUGGCUUUUGAAUAAGGUUAGAAACAAAGGAUGACAUGAGGCCCAAAUGACACUUGAAGUGGGGUAGGACUUACAACUUUUGGAAUCGACUCAAACAAUGAGGAUUAACUCAUGCCCCAGCUUUUUUUGGCUGGGUGACUCUAAAUUGUUUAUUUGGUUGGACCGAUCCCCGGGUAGGGAAGCCUACGUAUCUGGCCCCCAAAAGAGGAGAAUUAGGUCACGCAUAGUUCUGGUGGCUUGUUUUGCAUGAUUUAGACUUUUGAUUCUUUUUCUUUUAUUGACACUCUUUUCUCUUUGGAUUUUUCUGAUUCUAUUUGUCUUGACAUUUUUCUUUUUCUUCUUUUUGGACAUAUUUUCUUUUUCUUUUCUUUUUUUUCAAUUUUUUUGACUCUAUUAUUUUUCUCGACACUUUUCUUUUGAGCUUUGCUGACUCUAUCUUGAUUCCAAAAGAGGGGUAUGAAAGAAAAUAGGACUAAAGCCUAAAUGGGGUAAACAAAGGAUGACACGAUGUUUGGAUAGCAGAAUGAAAUACCUUCAUCAUAUCAAUCCUUGAAAAUGCAAGUACAUAUCGUGCAAUAUGAAAGUAAGAGAUGAAGAUAAUUUGUGACAUUUUUUAAGCAUUAUCUUUAACUGAGUCUGUGCGUCACUACUCUUGUACUUUGUUCAACAUAUCACUCCAUUUUUGUUGUACACUCCUCACAUCGAAUGACUCAUGCUUUUGUGGAGUUGAUUUUUUUGUUCCUUGGGAUCACACAUCCGUUAUUUGACCUAAUUGAGCAAUUUUUUUCAAUUGAUGACUAAGUUAUUCUUGUGAUUCUCAAAAAUAAUUGCCUUAAUUUUCAAAGAAGGCUUGAAUUUGUCACCAAAUGUCUCAGCACUCUACCUAUUUUCUCAGAUGCUCUCUUUUUCUAGCUUUAACCCUCUGUUUCAAUGUUCAUGCUUAAACUGGAACAUAAGAUCUGGCCAAAAAUUCCGCUAGUAUGUCAUAUCACUAGAAUCAACAUAAAAUAUACUAUGUAAAGAAAACAAACAAACAACACAUAUUUAAAACACAAACGAAAAAGGGACACUUCAUUUAAUUAAAAUAAAAGAUAGAAGGGUUUGAACAUAACGAUAAAUGGACAAAACAAGAUAGAUCCCGAACUACAACCCUGAAAUAAUUCGGAUAACAAAAAAUAAAACAAAACAAACUACCAGACCUUUUUCCUAGUCGGGGGAGGGGUGACUUCUCAAUUGCUCAGCCUAACAUCUUAGCCACUGGUUUGCAUAUCAGCAUGACUAGAGUUUUCCUCACUGUCAUUGUUCUAAACCAUAAUCAAUUUGUCUUGAAUCAUCUUUUCAAUUUAUCUUUUCAAAGCACGACAAUCUUUAAUACUGUGACCCUGAACAUCAGAAUGAUAUGCACAUCAUACAUUAGGAUCAAAACUUCUUGAAUGUGGGUCAGGAGUAUACCCAAGGAGAGGAGUGAUCAUGUCUCCCUAUGCCAAUCUCUAAAAUAAACUGGCAUAUGACUCUCCAAUUGUUGUGAAAUUAACCCUCAAUUUCUUCCUCAUUUCAUUAUUUAACUUGGAUCAAACAUCGGGCCUAGAAGGGCUUUGGGAUGUUUGUGAAAUUGGAGGAUGACUUUAAGGAGUUGGUGCGCGCCAUUGUGGGUAAGGAGGGAGUUGAACAUAUGGUUGUGAGCAAUAUACUAGAUAUGGAGAUGGGGAAACAGAGUAUAAUGGAUUUUGGGAGUGAUUAUGGAGAGCUUGGGUAUGAACUUGGGCUUGAGACUGGCGGCAAUGAUGACGUCAUCUUCUUGGUUAUGCCCGUUCUCCAACUACAAUAGCAGUGUCAUAUUUCUUAUUCUUCUACCCUCCAGGUUCCCUUAAUUAAUUGAAAUAUUGUCCCAAAUGUUUCACGGAUUCCUCAUGCCCAUCUUGCUCCUCAAAUUUCGAUAUCUCAAAGAUUGGAGGAAGGUUAGCACUUAAAGGCAUGCCCCAGUCUUUGUAUGAAACAUCUUCUUUACCCGCGGGUCCUAGAGAAUUUUUCAUAGCAUUUUCUGCACUCUUUAUUUUUCCAACCAUUUUCUCCGACUCUUCUAGCACACUGGACUUCUUGUUAAAAAAUUUUGGUGGUCCAGUUAACGUAAAAAUAGGCUCAGGAGUAUAACAAUGAUCACAAAAAGUAUUGAAUAUAGGUUCGCUAGCGGCAUGGGGACGCACAAUCGUUAGGCGAUCCAGUGUGGAAUCCCAGUAGAGGAUUGAGCAACAAGAUCACAGACGACAUGUGGUGUUAUGAAUGUAGCAGGAUUAUGCUGAGGAGCUAGAGCAAAAGUGGUGGAAGUAAUGAGAUGCUUUUGGCUUGGAAUGAAUUCUGAGUCUUGUUGCAGUACAUCAACAACUGUAGAAAACUAACUUUGAGAUUUUGGGGGAAAACUCGAGGUAUUUGUAGGAUCAAUAAAGGGAAUUGGAGGAGGAGGCAACCCACUGGCCCAAGCUCAAUGCAUUUUUGUCAUUUGUUGUCUUGGCCUCCUAAUCUGUGGCUUCAAACUCUCAAUUUCCUGAUUCUUUAUUUGAUCCACGAUGUCACUAUCUAUAUCUUUGUUGGACACAACUAAUCCUUUAGAUUUGGUGUGAUGUGAAGGACCAGCCAAAAUGCCACAAACCAACCACCUUAAACUAACUCAACAAAAAACAACAAAUAUGUUAGAGUUCAACACUUUUUCAAAACCUCUUUUUUCUUCUUUUUUUUUUUAAAGAUCACCGAACCCAAGAAGGACGCCUACGUAUCUCACUCCCGAGAGAGGAUAAUCAGGUGUGCGUAGUUCGUGAAGUCUUGUCACAAUGGCCAAUUAAACUCUUUUUUCUUUUUUUUUCUUUACUUGAAACUUUAAAAAGAAAAUAAAAUAACAAAUUUUCAAAAGAAUUGACGAAAAUCUUUUUGAAUUUUUCAGCUUUAACAUUCCUAUACAAAAUGACAUCUAUGAUUAGGGGUGGACGUUCGGUCAGUUCGGUCUGAUCGUUUAAUAUCGGUUCGAUUUAUUAGUUUUCGGAUUGACAAAAAUGACAACCAUAACCAAACCGAAAUAAAAUCGGUUUGGUUCGAUUUCUACAAAUUCGGUUUGGUUUUUUUUUAUUUUUAUUUUGGUUUGAAAUAUUAAAGUAGAGAGCCUCUCUUUUUCAUAAUUGAACAUUUAAAAAUUGAUGAUUUUUUUAAGAAAAAUGAUUUUUUUCAAAUCUAUUCUUCAUUCUGAAAUAUAAAUAACUAUAAGUAACUCAAUGAAAUGAAAUAAUGUCAUCAAGUUCUUUAUGGUAACAAGCAAUAUCAUCGUUGGGACUAACAUAUGGAGUUUCUUGAGUGAUGCAGUACUCGUUUCUAUUCCAAAUGUAAAAUAAAGAAAAUGCAAUAAACUACCAUGUUAAGCAGAAAAUGCCAUAAACUCACCUGAAUGCUCCUCUUUAGACACAAACACGAAACACCAAAUUUGUGGGUUGCGGGUUGCGGUUGUGGGUCGCCGGUCACGGUGUCAUUGUAAAGAAAGGGAGUAGAUCACCGGUCUUUCGUCUAUUUUGCCGAAUUGCCGGUGGUGUAAAUCGAAAACGGCGCUUUGGAUUUACUAUUUACUGUUCGUGAGUAUUGAGCCUUGAGUGUGAAUGGUAAUAUGUUUACUAUUUAGGGAUUUAGGCGCCUUGGAGUUGGAAUUAGGGUUACUAAAAUGUAUAUAUAAUUAAUAUAAUAUAUUGAUAAUAUAUAUUAUUUUAUAUAUAUAUAUAUAAUAAAUUGAUAAUAUACGUAUAUAUUAUAAUAUUAUUUAUAUAAUUUCAAUUUUAAAUUUUUCGGUUUAACCAAAAUAUUUUUUAAGAAAACUGAAAACUGAACCGUUUAACUGAAAUUUAAAAAUUGAAAAUCGAAAUCAAUCCGAAAAAAUGAAAAAUCAAAAUCAAAAUUAAAUUUCGGUUCGAUUUUUCAGUUUUUUUGGUUUUUUGGUAUUUAUCCCCACCACUAUCUAUGAUUACCAAAGAGAAAUCUUUUAGGGUCUUCAAUGUUGAAUUUCAUACGAAAAUAAAACUUGAAACAAUUAAAGGAAAAUCUUUUUGCAAUUUUCUUUUAAGGAAACAUAUGACAUCUACUCUAAUAAAGAGUGAAGAAAAAUCUUUUUGAAGUUUUUAAAUAAGAUUUUCGAACCAACAAUAGGCUGCCAACAUAUCUCACAUCCCAAAAGUGGAGAAUCAGGGGUGUGUAGUUCGUCUAGAUUGGAUAAUUAAGGAUUAACUAACCGAUUGACUCUAACUUAAGAGACAUGACCAAAGGCAAAUGAUGAACAAUACCGAUAAAAUCUUUUUGGAUUUUUUGAUUUGACACCUCACAUAAAAUCGACACCAACAACUGUGGAAAGAAAAUCUUUUUGAUGUUCUUUUAUUUUUUGACAAAUGAGUGCAAAAGAUAAAAAAUCUUUUUUUUGAAUUUUCUUCUUUUGAGAAGAUAAAUGCAAAAGGUAAAAAAAAAAUCUUUUUUUGGAAUUUUUGGGUUGUGAAGAACAAAAGUCAUAAAGAACUCUAAAAAUGAACUACGAAACUCUUUUUUGACUCACUUUUCUUUUUUCUUUUUUUUUCUUCAUUGCCUACAAACUUUAUUUCUAACACAUGUUUUCCCCCAAAUCAGUCCGUCAAAUGAUCUCGUUACCCUCAGAGAUGCAACAUUUAGCAUGUAGGGAUGCUUUAGAGGUGAGUCUCCUAUAAAGGACCGAGUGGGCCCCGCUAGGUCUUUAACAUGAUGCAUAUAAGCAUGACCUAAAGGCUGACCUACACUGGGAUUGACUAACAGGGCUGUUCGGGGGAACAUAUGGUCGAUAGUGGCUGCUUUGCUUUUCACCUACUCCAUACAACCGACGGCUCCCCCUCCUAAAAUAAGGGUUACUCAACUAGAGGUCGUGUACAACACAUGUACUACGGACUUGUUGCAAAAAAAAAUGACUCGGGUUAUGCACAUGAUGCCAGAUAUAAUGCGGUAAUACACAAGAGAAAAAUUAUAAACAGGUAGCACGUAAGCACUCAACAAUGAUAAAAUAAACAACAAACGAUAACACAAACAAUAUUUAUACACCUAUAAUGCCAAACUAAGCCGAUAUAACUCCAAAAUAAGCUCGAAUUCUAAAAAAAUCUCUCCAACAGAGUCGCCAGAGCUGUCACACCCCUUUUUAACUCCAAAAAGAUUAUUUUUUAAGGUUCAAAAGAGUUUUUAUUAUUAAAGUGACAAAAUAAAAAUUUGUUUCGAAAAGGACUUUUAUAUUCAAAACUCAGAGUCGUCACUUGGCAUAAUCGGGUGUGUCAAAUCACCUUGGGAAAUUCUUUUUUCAAAAUCAUUUUUGAAUCUUCUAAACUAAUCGGUGAAUAGACAUUUCGGCUAAGGAAUUCUGUUGACCGAGGGGAAGGUGUUAGGCAUCCCUCGAUCCGGUGGUUUGACCGCAGUUGCUUGGUGGAGUGUAUCGGCUAUUUUGGCAUUAUGAAUAUAUAAACCACACGAAAUCACACAAAACAAUAAAUCAAACAAACAAACAAAACAAAUCCAAAGUUAUAGUGUCUAGUCCGAUUAUUACAACUCCGAAAUAGAAAAAUGCGAAAAUAUAAACUUACGUUAUUCUAUGCUAAUUCUAAACUACACUCCAUUGCUUUCUCCACCCGACGUUUCGGGCCUUGAUCAUGCAUCGUCUUCAAGUAAAUGGUACUUCGGGACAUUCUUCGGAUAAAUCAAUACAAAUUCCUCAGGGCAUUCCCCGGUCAAAUAAAUACAAUAGAUCCCAAUGCAUAUAUCAAAACUGUUUCACACACAUUUCAUCAUUCAACAAUCACAAAUCCUAAACUUUGUCUACCCAACAUACGUUUUCCUAUUACUUCCGACUUAUCAUGCUAUUACCAAAUUAAACCAAAAUUAAUCUAAAUUCACUAUUUUAUCAAUUUCUCAAUUCCGCCCCAACUUCUCUUUUAACACUAAAUUUCCACAAUUCACGAUUUCCAUUUCAACGAUCCACAACUACUCUUCAACGAAAUUAAGUAACAGUCAAUAUCAAAGUAGCAAUUCCUCACCAAUCAUGAUCAAACAACACACGAGAUUCUAUCUAAUGCACCAUAUUUCAUCAAUAAUGAAAUAAAAAGAAGAAAAAGGUUGAAAUGAACCUCAAUGAUGAUUUUAUUUCAAUUAUCAGUCAAUCGAGAAGAUGAAUCCGAAUGCCGAAGAAUUCGAAUCAGAAAACCUCAAUGAUGAGCCCAAAUCCAAAUCAAUAUCAGAAAUCAAAGCCCGAAGCUGAACAAGAAUGACCGAUUCAAAAUCGCAACAAAAUUCGAAAUCCAACUCUUAUUGAAACCAGUUUCUGAAUCCAAAUUCCCAAUCAAUUUUGAGUCUAAAACAGUGUUGACUUCGGUGAGGAGGUGCUGUUUUUUGACUGGUUUGGUGAUAAGAGGGAGCUGGGUCGCUGCUAGCACUUUGUCGGAGCUCCAGCGAGCUCGGCGCAGGAGGAACUCGAAGGAUACAGAUAAAUUUCUAGGCCCGUUGACCCUUUUCUCUCCCUCUCUCCCCAUUUCUCUCCCUUUUCUCUAUCUCUCUGUCUGUUUCUCUCUUCUCUCAAUGCUCUAUCUCUCUCGACCUCUCUUACUGUGUGUUUUUGGAGAUGGUUGUGCGCGUGCAUAUCAGUGAGGAUGUGUGUACGAUUUGAGCUUGAGAAGAAAAAAACUAAAGCUAGGAAAAAUGGAGUCCGUGGAAAAAUGGAGUCCGUGCUUUCUUUUUUUUUGUAUCCUCCUGGUAUGUGUUGCGAUUUAUGCCUAUGGUGAGGAUUAGUGUGUGUGCCUAUUGUGAGGGAGUCUUGUGUUACUGUAUAAGUUUGUCCUCAAUGGAGAAGAAAAAUGGAAUCUUUCCCCUGUGAGCCCCCGUAUGUGUUAUCUGUGUGUUGAUGGUUUUGUGUAUGUGAGGUGUGUAUAAUUCUGUGUCCAGUGAAGAUGCUCCCUCCAUUGAACCAAUAAGAGAAUGGAAUAUAUUGGGAAAAAUGGAGUGGUCCCUUAUGUAGAGAAUCAUGGAUGUCGCUAUUGUUUCCCUGUGGUCCCCUCUUUAUUUGUGUAUUGCAAUAUGUGGAAUACAGUGGACACUGCG